This 463-nucleotide ribosomal RNA is filed under the name uncultured Ichthyophonida. RNAcentral's name for it is "eukaryotic LSU rRNA". Lineage: Eukaryota; Ichthyosporea; Ichthyophonida. The record is from RNAcentral.
UCUAUACUAUGUGAAUCAUCGAAUCUUUGAACGCAGUACGCGCCUCCCGGGGUUAAACUUGGGAGGCAUGCUAGUUUGAGUGUUAUCAACCAACAAUCACCCCAAAGGCUCUGACCGGCCCGACAAAGGUGGAGAAUGAGAGUCACGGCCUUCACCAGCUGUGUCUCUUUAAAAGGAGUGGGGCUCAUUGGCGGCAGCGCUUGUUUUCACAGGCUUGCUCUCUCGAGACUUCUCCCCUGCAGUGUGGUACUGUAUUAAUUUACUUCCAUCGCUCAGGGUAGGCUCGGGUUAGUACGGCAGGUGGAUGCUACGCAAGGGGACUGCACGUCGCGGCUGGCAACAGCUGUGGCACCAGAGAGUUCUAAGCUAGAGACACUAAACCUUUCAGAGAGGUUUAACCUUUUAGCAUAACCUCAAACUAGUAGGGCUACCCGCUGAAUUUAAGCAUAUCAAUAAGCGGAGG